AUGUAUAUUAAUUAGAAGACAAUCGAUAAAUGUUUCAGGAUUCAACAUUUGCUUCCGAUAUCCAGUUAUCUGUAGCUAGUGAAAAUCCGACUUUACAGACGAGACCAUUUUCUUCACAAGUGCAUCAGGUAAAUAAUUUAUUCUUACUAAUUUUAUUUGACUUUUCAGUGGCUUCGUCCAUAUAUGAAUGUAUAUUAAUUAGAAGAUAAAAUCGAUAAAUGCUGCAGGAUUCAACAUUUGCUUCCGAUAUCCAGUUAUCUGUAGCGAGUGAAAAUCCGACUUUACAGACGAGACCAUUUUCCUCACAAGUGCAUCAGGAUUCAACAUUUGCUUCCGAUAUCCAGUUAUUUGUAGCUAGUGAAAAUCCAACUUUACAGACGAGAUCAUUUUUCUCACAAGUGCAACAGGUAAAUAAUUCAUUCUUACUAAUUUUAUUUGACUUUUCAGUCACUUCGUCCACAUAUGUAUGUAUAUUAAUUAGAUGAUAAAAUCGAUAAAUGCUUCAGGAUUCAACGUUUGCUUUCAAUAUCCAGUUAUCUGUAGCUAGUGAAAAUCCAACUUUACAGACGAGAUCAUUUUUCUCACAAGUGCAACAGGAUUCAACUUUUGCUUCAGAUAUCUAGUUAUUUGUAACUACCGGUAAUCCGAAUUUACAGACGAGACCAUUUUCCUCAACUACCAGUAAUCCGACUUUACAGACGAGACCAUUUUCCUCACAAGUACAAGAGGAAUUUGACAAAAGUUACAGAAAUUUAUUAUAAAGCUCGAUUAUUUUGAAGGCAAAGGCGGAAAACAUAUGGAAGUACUUAAGCUUUACUAUUAAUUCUUUUGGUUAUAUGUUUUUUUUUUUUACCU
Molecule: long non-coding RNA, 855 nt
Organism: Arabidopsis lyrata subsp. lyrata
Lineage: Eukaryota; Viridiplantae; Streptophyta; Magnoliopsida; Brassicales; Brassicaceae
Exons: 4
Source: RefSeq, a predicted model, not a curated record